AAAGGAAUUGACGGGGGCCCGCACAAGCAGUGGAGUAUGUGGUUUAAUUCGACGCAACGCGAAGAACCUUACCAGGGCUUGACAUCCUCUGACGACUGCAGAGAUGCAGUUUUCCCUUCGGGGACAGAGAGACAGGUGGUGCAUGGUUGUCGUCAGCUCGUGUCGUGAGAUGUUGGGUUAAGUCCCGCAACGAGCGCAACCCCUGUUAUCAGUUGCCAUCAGGUAAAGCUGGGCACUCUGGUGAGACUGCCGUUGACAAAACGGAGGAAGGUGGGGACGACGUCAAAUCAUCAUGCCCCUUAUGUCCUGGGCUACACACGUACUACAAUGGCAACAACAGAGGGCAGCCAUGUCGCGAGGCAGAGCGAAUCCCAAAAUGUUGUCUCAGUUCAGAUUGCAGGCUGCAACUCGCCUGCAUGAAGUCGGAAUUGCUAGUAAUGGCAGGUCAGCAUACUGCCGUGAAUACGUUCCCGGGCCUUGCACACACCGCCCGU
This 494-nucleotide ribosomal RNA is filed under the name uncultured bacterium. RNAcentral's name for it is "bacterial SSU rRNA". It matches the Rfam family "Bacterial small subunit ribosomal RNA", at positions 903 to 1397 of the family's 1533-position model. The record is from RNAcentral.